This 531-nucleotide long non-coding RNA is filed under the name Arachis ipaensis. RNAcentral's name for it is "long non-coding RNA (AIPA_LNC001080)". The record is from RNAcentral. Lineage: Eukaryota; Viridiplantae; Streptophyta; Magnoliopsida; Fabales; Fabaceae.
AGCAUACACUCUUAAGUCUGAACAAAAGAAAUAGAGAAAAGGGGGUGAGAAAGUCACCGAGGGAAGAAGAGAAGAAGAUGACGGCACUGGCAAAGCAAAGAGAAGCCGUCGCCGCUGUCGAGUUAUAGAGGCAGAGGGAGAGACGAAUAAGGAGAGAGAUGGAUAAAGAGAAGGCAGCACCACUAUCGUCGCUGCUGGGACUCAUCGCUGGAGUUACGGUCAUCGCCGCUGAAGGGGCCGCGUCGGACGGAGAUAUUGCCAUCGCUGAAGCUCACCGCUGGUGCAACCCGAAGCUAUCUCCGCCUUUACUCUGCUCCACUGCGGCUGACCCCUACCUCUCCCCUAUUAGGCUUGCUUGGGGAUUAUUUUCCUAAACGCCGAUCAUGGCUCAUUUUGGGCCAUGACAAGAACUCUCCUCCAUAAUACAUAUCAUUACAUGUGGUCCUGCAGCCUCACUGUAUUGUAAUGGAGUGUGAUUGCACUGUUUUUCUUUUCUUUCUUUUAUUUGAAUAAAGUGCUUGUUUUUAUUUU